AUUGAACGCUGGCGGCAUGCUUUACACAUGCAAGUCGAACGGUAACAGGUUAAGCUGACGAGUGGCGAACGGGUGAGUAAUGCAUCGGAACGUGCCCGGUCGUGGGGGAUAACGCAGCGAAAGCUGCGCUAAUACCGCAUACGAUCUGAGGAUGAAAGCGGGGGACCGUAAGGCCUCGCGCGAUCGGAGCGGCCGAUGUCAGAUUAGGUAGUUGGUGAGGUAAAGGCUCACCAAGCCAACGAUCUGUAGCGGGUCUGAGAGGACGACCAGCCACACUGGGACUGAGACACGGCCCAGACUCCUAUGGGAGGCAGCAGUGGGGAAUUUUGGACAAUGGGCGAAAGCCUGAUCCAGCAAUGCCGCGUGCAGGAAGAAGGCCUUCGGGUUGUAAACUGCUUUUGUACGGAGCGAAAAGGCUCUCUCUAAUACAGGGGGCUCAUGACGGUACCGUAAGAAUAAGCACCGGCUAACUACGUGCCAGCCGCCGCCGUAA
This 493-nucleotide ribosomal RNA is filed under the name uncultured bacterium. Its description in RNAcentral is "partial 16S ribosomal RNA". It matches the Rfam family "Bacterial small subunit ribosomal RNA", at positions 30 to 523 of the family's 1533-position model. The record is from RNAcentral.